CAUACGACCGUACCGCAAACCGACACUGGUGCGCGAGAUGAGUAUUCUAAGGCGCUUGAGAGAACUCAGGAGAAGGAACUCGGCAAAUUGACACCGUAACUUCGGAAGAAGGUGUGCCCUAUUAGUGUGUAGUGAACAACGAAGCAUGAAUGGGUUGCAAAAAAUCGGUGGCUGCGACUGUUUAUUAAAAACACAGCACUCUGCAAACACGAAAGUGGACGUAUAGGGUGUGACGCCUGCCCGGUGCUGGAAGAUUAAAUGAUGGGGUGCAAGCUCUUGAUUGAAGUCCCAGUAAACGGCGGCCGUAACAAUAACGGUCCUAAGGUAGCGAAAUUCCUUGUCGGGUAAGUUCCGACCUGCACGAAUGGCGUAACGAUGGCCACACUGUCUCCUCCUGAGACUCAGCGAAGUUGAAAUGUUUGUGAUGAUGCAAUCUCCCCGCGGAAAGACGGAAAGACCCCAUGAACCUUUACUGUAGCUUUGUAUUGGACUUUGAACAGAUCUGUGUAGGAUAGGUGGGAGGCUUUGAAGCAGGGUCGCUAGAUCUUGUGGAGCCAACGUUGAAAUACCACCCUGGUGUGUUUGAGGUUCUAACCUAGGUCCAUUAUCUGGAUCGGGGACAGUGCAUGGUAGGCAGUUUGACUGGGGCGGUCUCCUCCCAAAGCGUAACGGAGGAGUUCGAAGGUACGCUAGUUACGGUCGGACAUCGUGACGAUAGUGCAAUGGCAUAAGCGUGCUUAACUGCGAGACUGACAAGUCGAGCAGAUGCGAAAGCAGGACAUAGUGAUCCGGUGGUUCUGUAUGGAAGGGCCAUCGCUCAACGGAUAAAAGGUACUCUGGGGAUAACAGGCUGAUACCGCCCAAGAGUUCAUAUCGACGGCGGUGUUUGGCACCUCGAUGUCGGCUCAUCUCAUCCUGGGGCUGUAGCCGGUCCCAAGGGUAUGGCUGUUCGCCAUUUAAAGAGGUACGUGAGCUGGGUUUAAAACGUCGUGAGACAGUUUGGUCCCUAUCUUCCGUGGGCGCUGCAGAUUUGAGGAAGCCUGCUCCUAGUACGAGAGGACCGGAGUGGACACACCUCUGGUGUAUCGGUUGUCACGCCAGUGGCAUUGCCGAGUAGCUAAGUGUGGAAGAGAUAACCGCUGAAAGCAUCUAAGCGGGAAACUCGUUUCAAGAUGAGAUCUGCCGGGGCCUUGAGCCCCCUAAAGAGUCGUUCAAGACCAGGACGUUGAUAGGUCAGGUGUGGAAGCG
RNAcentral lists this ribosomal RNA (1248 nucleotides) under metagenome. RNAcentral describes it as "bacterial LSU rRNA". It matches the Rfam family "Bacterial large subunit ribosomal RNA", at positions 1635 to 2875 of the family's 2925-position model. The record is from RNAcentral.